Molecule: ribosomal RNA, 791 nt
Filed under: uncultured Alphaproteobacteria bacterium
Lineage: Bacteria; Pseudomonadati; Pseudomonadota; Alphaproteobacteria
Description: bacterial SSU rRNA
Rfam family: Bacterial small subunit ribosomal RNA
Source: RNAcentral
GCUGGCGGCAUGCCUCAUACAUGCAAGUCGAACGAGGUCUUCGGACCUAGUGGCGCACGGGUGAGUAACAUGUGGGAAUCUGCCUGAAGGUUCGGAAUAACUGCGGGAAACUGUAGCUAAUACCGGAUGUGUCUGUAAAGAGAAAGAUUUAUCGCCUUCAGAUGAGCCCGCACUAGAUUAGCUAGUUGGUGAGGUAACUGCUCCACCAAGGCUACGAUCUAUAGCUGAUUUGAGAGGAUGAUCAGCCACACUGGGACUGAGACACGGCCCAGACUCCUACGGGAGGCAGCAGUAGGGAAUAUUGGACAAUGGGGGAAACCCUGAUCCAGCAAUGCCGCGUGAGUGAAGAAGGCCUUCGGGUUGUAAAACUCUUUCAUCAAUGAUGAUAAUGACAUUAGUUGAAGAAGAAGCUCCGGCUAACUUCGUGCCAGCAGCCGCGGUAAUACGAAGGGGGCUAGCGUUGUUCGGAAUCACUGGGCGUAAAGCGUAUGUAGGCGGAUCAAAAAGUUAGAUGUGAAAUCCCUGGGCUCAACCCAGGAACUGCAUUUAAAACUAGUGAUCUAGAAUUUGGUAGGGGUUAGUAGAAUUUCCAGUGUAGAGGUGAAAUUCGUAGAUAUUGGAAAGAAUACCAGUGGCGAAGGCGACUAACUGGGCCAUUUUUGACGCUAAGAUACGAAAGCGUGGGUAGCAAACAGGAUUAGAUACCCUGGUAGUCCACGCAGUAAACGAUGAGUGCUAGUCGCUGGGACAAUAGUUUCAGUGUCGAAGCUAACGCAUUAAGCACUCCGCCU